UAGAGUUUGAUCCUGGCUCAGAUUGAACGCUGGCGGCAGGCCUAACACAUGCAAGUCGAGCGGUAACAUUUCUAGCUUGCUAGAAGAUGACGAGCGGCGGACGGGUGAGUAAUGCUUGGGAACAUGCCUUUAGGUGGGGGACAACCAUUGGAAACGAUGGCUAAUACCGCAUAAUGUCUACGGACCAAAGGGGGCUUCGGCUCUCGCCUUUAGAUUGGCCCAAGUGGGAUUAGCUAGUUGGUGAGGUAAUGGCUCACCAAGGCAACGAUCCCUAGCUGGUUUGAGAGGAUGAUCAGCCACACUGGAACUGAGACACGGUCCAGACUCCUACGGGAGGCAGCAGUGGGGAAUAUUGCACAAUGGGCGCAAGCCUGAUGCAGCCAUGCCGCGUGUGUGAAGAAGGCCUUCGGGUUGUAAAGCACUUUCAGUUGUGAGGAAAGGUUAGUAGUUAAUACCUGCUAGCUGGACGUACA
Molecule: ribosomal RNA, 473 nt
Filed under: Pseudoalteromonas sp. EF1B-CB130
Lineage: Bacteria; Pseudomonadati; Pseudomonadota; Gammaproteobacteria; Alteromonadales; Pseudoalteromonadaceae
Description: bacterial SSU rRNA
Rfam family: Bacterial small subunit ribosomal RNA
Source: RNAcentral